GGAGAUGAGGGUAACUGUGGGAUCUGCUUCCCGCCUUUGACUGUGUGCUUCCCUGGCAUCAAAUUUAAGGUGUUGGGUUUGGCAGCAAGCACCGUUACCCUUUGAGUCAUCGAACCUCACAAGCCCCAGUGUGCAUGUUUUUAAGCUUCCUAGGGACAUUUAUACAGGAUUGCAAUGUGGAGUUGUGCUAGUUGUUUUUUCCCCCACACGAAUCACCUGAGAAGAAUCCUUAAUUGAGGAAUUGCCUCCACCAGGUUGGACCAUGAACAUCCAUGGAGCAUCUUGCUCAAUAAUUGAUGUGGGAAGGCUCAGCCCACUGUGGGCGGUGCCACUCCUGAGCAGGUCGUCCUGGGUUACAUAAGAAAGCAAGCUGAGCAAGCCAUGAAAAAGCAAGCCAGUAAGCAGUGUUCCUCCAUUGGUUUCUGCUUCAACUCCUACCUGAGAUUCCUUCAGUAAUGAUCAUGAACCAUAACCUUUAAGGUAAAAUAAUCCCUUCCCCCCCCUAAGUUCCCUUUAGUAGUGGAGUUUAUCACAGCAGUAUAAAGCAGCAGGCUAGGUCACAUUUUAAACUCCUGAGCACCCAUCUCCCAGCUUAAAGAGGGAUUGAAUGUUGCUGCUAUGACAAUGCUCAGUCCCUUUAGCACCCACUAAAGCAGUGGUUCUCAACCUUCCUAAUGCUGUGACCCUUUAGUACAGUUCUUCAGGUUGUGGUGACCCCCAAGCAUAAAUUUAUUUUUGUUGCUACUUUGUAUCUUAAGUUUGCUACUGCUCUGAAUUGUAACGUAAAUCUGUGUUUUCCAAUGUUUUUUGUUUUUGUUUUUGUGGGUUGAGCCCCACAGGCUGAGAAUGACUGCACUAAAGCAAUACCUUCUCUGAGGCCUGUGUUUCAAGGCUUUGUUUAUGAUCACGAAUCCAAGGACUAACCAGGCACAACUCUACUGAGAUUUUGAGACCAGAUGAAAUGACGCCUCUGUUUCUCCUGGCAUGACUUUGUCUGGAAAAGCUCUUCUCCUCUCUCCUUUCCUACUGAACUCCUAUGGCUCACAACUACUGGAGUCCUCAAAAUGUCAUCUUCAGGCUGUGUUACAUGCAUGGGCAAAUGGUUUCUUGUGAUUUCCUUUUCUCCCCAAAGAAUCCAAUAUUACUAUAUCUAUUUUCGGGUUUGCUGGUAAUGUCUGUUCUCUAAGGUUUUAUCAUCAUCCGGUUGCCAAACUGGGCAAAUCAUCAAAAUGCUGAGGAGAGAUUCAAGCAAUUGGAGAUGCUUGGCUAUCUUUUGUGGACGUUUAGGGGUCAGGACAGGGAUAUGGAACCAUAAAGGGCACCCUGGAUAGACCCAAGGGUUCCCUAGGGAGAUACAGGCACUGCCUGGAGAAAUCCUCUCCAAUCCUUGAGCAAUUGUUUCAACUAGCAACAGGGAGGGGGUGGCUAAAGCAAAGGAGGCCUCUGAUCAAGGAGUUUCACCUUUUAUUUAGACAAGGAGUAAGCUAGAGAGAAUAGUUGCACAGAGUGAUGGCCAAUGUGAGGGGCUGGCGAGACACCUCAGGGGUUAAGAUGACAGACUGCUCUUGCAGAGGAUACAAGUCUGUCCUCCAACACAUGUCAGAUGGCUCCCAAGAACUUGUAACUCCAGAUCCAGGAGAUCCAACAUUCUCUUUUGGUUUCCACAGCCACUACACUCAAGGGCACACACACACACACACACACACACACACACACACACACACACACACACACCAAUAAACAAAUCUUUAAAAACUAUGGUCUAUUAUAUAUUUAACAAUUGCUAAAACAGUUGUAAAUGGCUUCUGAACAAAAUAGGGUAAGUAGCUGAAGUUAUAGAUUUGUUGAUUAGUUUAAUUUAGUCAUAAUGUAUUAUAAACACAAAAUUGGACCCCAUAAAUAUACAGAAUACAAAUAUAUAUGUAAAUUAUUUGUCAAAUGAAAUUAAGAUAAACAGGCUAGGGUUGAGCUGUGUACUGGAGUCACGGUUUGGUGUGAAUGUAUUUAGGGGUUACCUGAAAGGUCAACAUGCUGAAAAGGGAAUUGUGGAAAGGAGGAGCAAAGUAAUGGAUAAGUGGGCAGUUGUUUGUGCAACUGGAGCAGUUCGCCUGGCUGAUGAUGAUACAGCAAAGAGUGAUUCAUAUCAGAGACAAGUCAUGUAAUACCAGAUAACUCAAUUCCUUUAUCCACUAAUCUAUUUGAAAUUUUUGGCUGCCAAGUGGGGUUUUCAUCCUUAAUCUCUUUUUUUCUCUCAUUUACCCUCAACAAAAUAAUAUUUCUGGGCUGGAGAUGGUUCUGUUGGUAACCUAGUUGUUAUGUAAGAACAAGAUGUGAGUUUGGACUCCCAGCACCCACAGAAAAAGAUGGGUGGGACAGUGCUGGUUUGUAACCCUAGAAUGGAGGCCUUCCAGGCUAGCCAAUUUGCUGGCCACAGGUUCAGUCAGAGACCAUGUCUUAAAAAUUGAGGAGAGUGACAGUGACAGAGGAAGACAUUGGAUGUUGACCUCUGGCCUCUAAAUGCACAACACAUACAAUACUUCCAGUAUUCUAGUAUUUUUAUUUGGAAGAAAGUUGAAGGAACAUGUGGAAAAGAUAACUGGAUUACUUUUUAUAGGAA
This 2617-nucleotide long non-coding RNA is filed under the name Cricetulus griseus (Chinese hamster). RNAcentral's name for it is "lncRNA (ENSCGRG00015031295.1)". The record is from RNAcentral. Lineage: Eukaryota; Metazoa; Chordata; Mammalia; Rodentia; Cricetidae.